UAGGGAAUCUUGCGCAAUGGGCGAAAGCCUGACGCAGCAACGCCGCGUGCGGGAUGAAGGCCUUCGGGUUGUAAACCGCUUUCAGCAGGGACGAAAAUGACGGUACCUGCAGAAGAAGCCCCGGCCAACUACGUGCCAGCAGCCGCGGUAACACGUAGGGGGCGAGCGUUGUCCGGAUUUAUUGGGCGUAAAGAGCUCGUAGGCGGUUCGGUAAGUCAGGCGUGAAAACUCAGGGCUCAACCCUGAGACGCCGCCUGAUACUGCUGUGACUGGAGUCCGGUAGAGGAGCGUGGAAUUCCUGGUGUAGCGGUGAAAUGCGCAGAUAUCAGGAGGAACACCGACGGCGAAGGCAGCGCUCUGGGCCGGUACUGACGCUGAGGAGCGAAAGCAUGGGGAGCGAACAGGAUUAGAUACCCCCGUAGUCC
This 425-nucleotide ribosomal RNA is filed under the name uncultured prokaryote. RNAcentral's name for it is "bacterial SSU rRNA". It matches the Rfam family "Bacterial small subunit ribosomal RNA", at positions 355 to 796 of the family's 1533-position model. The record is from RNAcentral.